Molecule: transfer RNA, 72 nt
Filed under: Pseudocercospora pini-densiflorae CBS 125139
Lineage: Eukaryota; Fungi; Ascomycota; Dothideomycetes; Mycosphaerellales; Mycosphaerellaceae
Description: tRNA-Thr (AGT) (tRNA-Thr-AGT-1-1)
Rfam family: tRNA
About the family: Transfer RNA (tRNA) molecules are approximately 80 nucleotides in length.
Source: RNAcentral
GCCCUCAUAGCUCAGUGGUAGAGCGCGUCACUAGUAAUGACGAGGUCUUUGGUUCGAUCCCAGAUGAGGGCA